Molecule: ribosomal RNA, 374 nt
Filed under: uncultured bacterium
Lineage: Bacteria
Description: bacterial SSU rRNA
Rfam family: Bacterial small subunit ribosomal RNA
Source: RNAcentral
UACGAGGGGUCCUAGCGUUGUUCGGAAUCAUUGGGCGUAAAGAGUCUGUAGGUGGCUAGAUAAGUCAGGUGUGAAAUCCCCGGGCUCAACCCGGGACGUGCAUUUGAUACUGUCUAGCUUGAGUAUGGAAGAGGCUAGUGGAAUUCUUGGUGUAGUGGUGAAAUACGUAGAUAUCAGGAGGAACACCGGUGGCGAAGGCGGCUAGCUGGUCCUAUACUGACGCUGAGAGACGAAAGCGUGGGGAUCAAACAGGAUUAGAUACCCUGGUAGUCCACGCCGUAAACGAUGGAUACUUGGUGUUGGAGGUAUUGACCCCUUCAGUGCCGAAGCUAACGCGUUAAGUAUCCCGCCUGGGGAGUACGGCCGCAAGGUUA